UACGGAGGGGGCUAGCGUUGUUCGGAAUUACUGGGCGUAAAGCGCACGUAGGCGGCUUUGUAAGUUAGAGGUGAAAGCCCAGGGCUUAACCCUGGAAUUGCCUUUAAGACUGCAUCGCUAGAAUCGUGGAGAGGUGAGUGGAAUUCCGAGUGUAGAGGUGAAAUUCGUAGAUAUUCGGAAGAACACCAGUGGCGAAGGCGGCUCACUGGCCCGAUACUGACGCUGAGGCACGAAAGCGUGGGGAGCAAACAGG
RNAcentral lists this ribosomal RNA (253 nucleotides) under uncultured bacterium. RNAcentral's name for it is "partial 16S ribosomal RNA". It matches the Rfam family "Bacterial small subunit ribosomal RNA", at positions 524 to 776 of the family's 1533-position model. The record is from RNAcentral.